CCCGUCUGCGGGCAACCGUGGGCGGGGGGCACAAACUAGGGGGUGGCGACUGUUUACUAAAAACACAGGUCUCUGCGAAGCCCAAAGGCGACGUAUAGGGACUGACGCCUGCCCGGUGCUGGAAGGUUAAAGGGAGGGGUGCAAGCUCCGAACUGAAGCCCCAGUAAACGGCGGCCGUAACUAUAACGGUCCUAAGGUAGCGAAAUUCCUUGUCGGGUAAGUUCCGACCUGCACCGAAUGGCGUAACGACUUCCCCGCUGUCUCCAACGCAGACUCAGCGAAAUUGAAUUCCCCGUGAAGAUGCGGGGUUCCCGCGGUCAGACGGAAAGACCCCGUGCACCUUUACUACAGCUUCACACUGGCAUCAGGCCAGGCAUGUGCAGGAUAGGUGGCAGGCUUUGAAACAGGGACGCCAGUUCCUGCGGAGCCGUCCUUGAGAUAUCACCCUUGCCUUGCCUGAUGUCUAACCGCGGACCGUCAUCCGGUUCCGGGACCCUGUGUGGCGGGUAGUUUGACUGGGGCGGUCGCCUCCCAAAAAGUAACGGAGGCGCGCGAUGGUGGGCUCAGGUUGGUCGGAAAUCAACCGUCGAGUG
RNAcentral lists this ribosomal RNA (593 nucleotides) under Amaricoccus sp. HAR-UPW-R2A-40. RNAcentral's name for it is "Bacterial large subunit ribosomal RNA". It matches the Rfam family "Bacterial large subunit ribosomal RNA", at positions 1751 to 2351 of the family's 2925-position model. The record is from Rfam by way of RNAcentral. Lineage: Bacteria; Pseudomonadati; Pseudomonadota; Alphaproteobacteria; Rhodobacterales; Paracoccaceae.